Non-coding RNA from Mucidula mucida, 82 nucleotides. The record is from the annotation of a GenBank genome assembly. NCBI's taxonomy places the organism in Eukaryota, Fungi, Basidiomycota, Agaricomycetes, Agaricales, Physalacriaceae.
GCCCGUUUAGCUCAGUGGUAGAGCGCGCCACUCGUACCCCAAGGCGAUGGUGAGGUCGGUUGUUCAAUCCAGCCAAUGGGCA